This is a long non-coding RNA of Musa acuminata AAA Group (dessert banana), 2880 nucleotides long. RefSeq lists it as uncharacterized. The record is from RefSeq and is a predicted model, not a curated record. The transcript has 4 exons. NCBI's taxonomy places the organism in Eukaryota, Viridiplantae, Streptophyta, Magnoliopsida, Zingiberales, Musaceae.
UUAUAAAUAGUAAAGAAGUUAUUAAUAGUAAAAAGGGUUCUAAAUAACAGGCUCUUUAGAAAUUAUAGUAUUGCUUCUGAAAAAGUCUAAAAAAAAUGUAUUUUUCGGAGGAUUCGUCCAAAAAAAAAAACAAUUAUUAGCGGUCAAACAUAUAGAAAUUACACAAGUGGCAAAUGGUGCAUGUUUUGUCAGGCAAAAAAGCGUCGCCAAACAUGGAUGGAACUGGGGACAUGGGUGUCAGAAAAAGGUUCCCAAGAAAGUUCAUCGAUUGGCACUUGUCGGAGAGUUGAUGCCUUCACCACUUUGGACAGCGUAUCCUGCAAUGCGUUCUUUUCCCAAUGAUAAUGCCAUGUUCUUCAUCUACAGCUGCGUUUCCAUGGUGGGCUUGGCUGGGGACAAAAGCAAUGGAGAUCUAUGAUCGUGUCAUGUCGCAGAAGAAGAAGCCCAAGCAGUGCGUGCUUGAGACAAUCAAUAGAACAAAUGAGAGGUGAUUUGCGUCCCGUCCCAAAUCGCAGAUCCAUGAAGUGACACGCGAAGCAGGGAGAUAUGGUGACAACGGUCGAGGAUCACGCUAGCCUCCUCUCCUCGGCCAAUCAUCGACGCCUACUCCAAAUGCGCGAGGUGGAUACGCCCCGUAAGGUGUUCGAUGCAAUGCCUCACAGAAACGUCGUCUCUUGGGAUGAACUCGUUGAAGGGGGUACCAAGACCACCACGAUAUCUACAGAGCGCCCAUCUUUCUCUCGACCUCUAAGGACUUCUUUACCGCAGAGGGAAUAGAUUUUAGGUGACAAGUUGUGUAUCACUUGAUUAGCUUUCAAGCAAUUUGAGAGGUCAGCAAGCUAUUUGUGAUUUCAUUUAUUUCAUGGCAGGAAGCUUCUACAUAAAUAAAGGAACAGCAGGUAAAUAGGUUAGUGGAACCCGAUGGAUCAGUUGUCAUAUAUAAAGCAUGCUUAGUGGCCAAAGGGUUUCAUUAACGAUCAUGUGUUCACUUCAUAGAGAUAUUUAGUCUAAUUGUUAAACCAACAACAAUCUGACUUUUCUUGAGUUUGACUAUUAUAAAAGACUAACACAUACGACAAUUGGAUGUUAAUAAUACUUUCUUAUAAGAUACCCUCAGAUGUUUUUAUGUAGCAACCUCCUAGCUUUAUCCAUCUUCAAUAUCCAAUGUAUGUUUGUAAACUAUAAAAAAUUAUUUAUAGACUUCAUCAAGCUCCAAAGCUUGGUACACUGAACUUGUUUUUGGCAUCAAGUGGCUUCAUCAACUCUAAGUCUAACAUCUCCUUAUUUUUAUGACAACAAAAUGGAAGUACAAUAUAUCUGUUGGUAUAUGUGGAUGACAUCAUCGUUAUAAGAAAUAAUCCUAUAGAGAUCAAGGAAUUCCUCAAGCAGUUGACAGAUCGAUUCUCCAUCAAGGAUCUAAGAAUCUUAAGCUACUUUCUGAUAGUGGAAGAAAUAUACACAUCUUCACGACUCUUUAUAUAUCAAAGGAAGUAUAUUCAAGAUCUACUAUCUAAGACAAAUAUGCAGAAUGCCAAAUAGGUUGCCACUCCACUCUCUACUACUGAAUCACUCAAAUUAUAUGAUGACAACCCUACUAUGAAUCCUACAAAAUACUGAUAAGUACUUUACUCGCAUCCAAACAUUUCAUUUGCAGUCAACAAAUUAUCACAAUUUAUGCAUCGACCCUCCACUACACAUUGGUCUACAGUAAAACGAGUCCUGCGAUAUCUCAAAGGGACUCUCAAUCAUGGACUUAUUCUUUGUAUAUACUCUUACUUUAUUUUUAUGCCUUUAUCGAUACUGAUUGGAUAUGAAACGUUGAUGAUAGAACAUCUACGUCAGGUUAUAUUAUCUUCCAUGGAGCAAAUCCAAUCAGUUAGAAUUCUAAGAUAUAGAAGACAAUCAUAAGGUCCACAACUGAAGUUAAAUAUUGAGUCAUAGCUACCACUAUUGUAGAACUCAACUAAGUCACCAAUAUGCUAUAGGAACUUGAUGUGAACUUCACAUUUACUCAUACAAUAUAUUGUGAUAAUGUCGGUGUCACCUGUCAAUCCAGUAUUUCACUCACGCAUUGAACACAUUGUUAUCGACUUCCACUUCAUCAAAGACCAAGUUGUCAGAUAUCAACUACGUGUUUCUCACCUAGUAGACUCUCUCACAAAGCCUCUUGCCCGUAAAAUAUUUUCGUUAUAUCGAUCCAAGAUUGGCAUCCUAGAUAGGAGUUCAAUCUUACAAGGGGAUGAUAGAAGAUUGGGAUCAUGAUAAAUUUAGAGUAACUAAUUGAUCUUCGUAAGAUAAGAAUGGAGAAAAUCUCUCUCUCGUAGCUCCCUCUAAAUUUAUAUAAAUAUUGUCUAAAUUAGCAUAUCUUCAUAAGAUGAGAUAUACUAACUUCUUGGCAUCUUAUUUUAUCAGUUACUUAUUUUGUAUCCAAAGUGUUGAGGUGCUUUUUCCAGCUAUAAGAAAUACAGGGAUCGAUACAAAGCAGAGAGAUAUGUGACUUUUGCUAACAUGCAAGAAUCCUGGAUCAUGAUGGUUUACCGGUGUUAAAUCUGGAUGCAGGUUUCAUUUUGUAGAGUUGUGGACUUGACUUGUUUGAACAUGAAAUCCAAGUCACUGAAUUUUUUCUGAAGACAUUUGAUCCAGCUAAAAUUCAACAUGCAUUCGGCAGUAGGUUUGCUCAAACUCGACCUCUGUAAUCAUUUGGUGUUUUACUCAAAUAAUACAAUGAGACUGCUAGGCGAUGGAUUCGAGAUUCGGUUGAAGACAACCAGCAUACCAUGGACAUUAGGUUAGGAAUUCUUAUUCAUGGUAUUGCUUGUAAUAUGUAACCAAGCAUGUUACACAUCGAUACCAUUUAACUCACUUAUCGAGUAAACUGUA